AAGUCCUAGCCAGAAGCACUGAAGCAGAUUGGGUUUGGGAAGUGCUGGUGACAGAACCUCAGAAACUGUAUGUAAAUAAGAAGCAAAUUAAAGUUUGAUAUCAGAGUACUGCAAGGAUACUAGCAAGUAUCCCUGAGUACAUUUGGAACCAGCUUCUGCGUGUGUACACCCACACCCUGAAACAGAAAUGUAUUGUUCAGGAAUAUUGUGAUUCAUCCCCUUCAGUAGAAAGCCAAAAGGAGAUGAGGAGUUCCCACCUGCCAGCUUCUCCUGGUCGUCACCUG
Mus caroli (Ryukyu mouse) is the source of this 284-nucleotide non-coding RNA. Lineage: Eukaryota; Metazoa; Chordata; Mammalia; Rodentia; Muridae. The record is from RefSeq and is a predicted model, not a curated record.